CAUGUUAGCCUGACCUUAAGUACAAGAUCCCCAGAAGCAAAGUAAGGGAGGAAAAUCAGGGACAUGGGGGUCUUUGAUCAGGCCUUGAAGACCCAGAAAGAGUUCACACCCUAGAUAUAGAAAAGAAACAAUAUUACCAAAGAAGUAGAGAUGACACCAGGGUAUAAAAAGAUUUUAAACUUAAUAAAGUAAGGAUAGUAGGCUGGAGAAGACAGAAGAGUCCUACGGACCUAAUGCCAGGCUAAGGAAUUAGACUUUAUUUACAAUCAGUGGCAGCCAUUGAUGUUUCCAGCACAGAAAUAAGAUGGGUGCCA
RNAcentral lists this long non-coding RNA (314 nucleotides) under Bos taurus (domestic cattle). RNAcentral describes it as "long non-coding RNA NONBTAT022176". The record is from RNAcentral. Lineage: Eukaryota; Metazoa; Chordata; Mammalia; Artiodactyla; Bovidae.